UUAAGAUGAACGUCUACUCCACUGUAGGCUACGGAAAUUUUGAAGAGAACGAUCUUGAACUCUGAAGCUUUCCGAACACGUUGGGUGCUGAUCAGGCGCGGAAAAUGCAGUCGUAUCAAAAGCAGGACAAAUCGUUGUUGGAUUUACGCGAGUAAAUGAAAAUACGUUCAAGAUCAACAGCUGAAAUUAGCUUGUCCCAUCUAAACGUAUCAAGUUUGGCAUGAACUAUUACUAUCCGCUGGGCAUCUUUUAAGUCAAAAAAAGGCCGUCAGUUGACUGUAGGAGUUCCACAUGUCUAGAAGAAGCCUACAAAGGUGCUUUCGAUGUAGAACAGAGGUGCCUGCUAAAUUUGACCGCUACCUACGAUCAGCCUACGAGUUACAUUUUUCUCUAUUAUCAAUGGUAAAAACCGAAAUGACGUAGAGUUGGGCGCGUUCACCGUAGCAGAUUGUUAUCUAAGAUAGCACACUUGACUAUUAUAUAUAUACAAAUGAUAUACCUUAACGCUAUAAAUGCCCAGUUUCCGCCCAGCUCCGAUAAAAAAAUUCGUAAUUACAAAUAUCCCAGUGACCCGUUCUUUUAUAUAUAGAAAUCGUAUUUAUUGAAUUGCCUAUAUUUUGUCAGUCCCAUUUUUCCUUUAUCUUACGACAUGAUGCCCCGCAAGCUCAUGGUAGUAACAAUAUUUCGUGAUAAUGUGUCCGAUACAGUAUAUCUCAGCUCGUAUACAUGUAUGUAAUUACUAUAUUUGUAACUCGUGAAGAACUAUCUGACAAAGGUGAGUUUUUCUUGAGAAAAAGAAGCACUCUUUGAUUUUUUCCCACGACAACAACAUUUGAUGCCGGCCCGUUAUUAAUGAAAUGUACAUCCUGCUUUUGGCCUUUACCGACUUUUAACUGCUUAGUACUCAAUGGUUCCUUAUACCUGUCAUCCAGUGCCACUAAAAUAAAAUAGCACAUAAGUUGUUAGUUAAUCGUGUUAGUUCCUUAGUAUUUUCCUUCCGCUUUCCUUCGUCGUAGCUUCUAGUGUCGUUGUUUCGCUGACGUCACUUGCAUUCACUGUUGUUGCAACCGCUUCUCUAUCGGUAGAUGUCGUCGCUCUGGUAGUUGGACAGCCGGUCAGCGAGCUGUUCUAUGGCUGACGUAGCCUGCCUAGCACAGUCCAUGGUGGCAAAGGAAUAGAAGCUAUUCAUUCGUCAGAGGAGGAAGCAUGAAGCACAAGAAAGCACAUUCUUGGGACACAAGAAUAAGCGCGCAUGAAGGAUCAGAGAGGGUGUCUCCGAUUUGGUAAAUAUUUUAUCAGUUUUCACCUCCUUCCUGACCACAGCCGCAAAUGCCCUAUGUUCGAACAAGGGGCAUGUUGGGAAGGAGGCACGGUGCCCCAUCUACCUACGGAAGCGCUGGCUUUGCUGGGAGUCUCCCUGCUGAGGUGCACUACGAGAUAGCCGGAUUAGGCAAAGGCAGACUCAUCUUUACCAGUGGCUGUCUCGGCUCGCUUAUAAAAGUUCUAUAGUGUACUAGACGGCUAUUACGUUUCAGCAUACCUAACCUAAUGUUUGACCUUUUUCACCUUGACGUCUUACCUGCGUGUCGUGCUUGUGCGAAUGCAAUAUGUACACACAUGAUUUAACGCAGCGCGUCUCCUCGUUGCCUUAGCGGAAAAAGAAAUAAAAAUAGCAUGCAAAAUAUUCCUGUUUUAGAUAUCCUAGACUGUGCUAUCGACGCAUCGAUAUAGACGCACAGAUUGAACACUGAUCCGGCUCGCUAAUACCUGUUUCCUAUCGAGCCGCGCUGUAAUAUACGCGCCCUUUAAAACUCAAACUUACCAUAUAAACAAGCAAAAUCUGAAUGCGAGCAUUAGCUCACACAGCGCGAUUUUUACACAAAAAAAUUCGAAUUAUUCUCAGUUCAUCUCGAUACCUUAGCUUAAAGGCAUAUUCUAUGAGAAACCAUCUUGUAAGCCAUGGUCACCUCCUAUCAUUACUAUAAUCACUUCCUGGCAGCUUGUCCAUGCCAUGCGCGGGUGUAACUCCAACGAACAGCAGGCACCGCUAUUCCCGCCAUUGUGGAAACACUACCAGUAUACUGUGC
Molecule: long non-coding RNA, 2087 nt
Organism: Varroa destructor (honeybee mite)
Lineage: Eukaryota; Metazoa; Arthropoda; Arachnida; Mesostigmata; Varroidae
Source: RefSeq, a predicted model, not a curated record